Long non-coding RNA from Mus musculus (house mouse), 612 nucleotides. RefSeq annotates it as RIKEN cDNA 4833447I15 gene. The transcript has 3 exons. The record is from RefSeq and is a predicted model, not a curated record. NCBI's taxonomy places the organism in Eukaryota, Metazoa, Chordata, Mammalia, Rodentia, Muridae.
UGGCAGAGCGCCAACCGGCAAGGGUAGAGCAUACGCCGCGGAAAAGCUGCGGGGCGCGAAUGGCGCGGGACGCAAGGCGGCUGUUCGUGGAUGGCCACGGGACAGCACGCUCAUUGGAAACUGGUAAUCAGCCUAGGUGACGGAGACUCCAGGCCACAAUGGAGAAUGGCAGUUGUAUACCGAGGUGACCAGAUUCUGAGACUUCCCUGAUUGCCUUGAUUUACACUUGGACACCCAGGUCCUUCCCCACCCCCUAUUCCCAGUUGCUUCUUUUGUGAGAUUGGGGCUUCUUAUGUAACCCAGCCUGGUAAACUCACUAUUUUGUAGCUUCAAAUUCAUGGUGAUCCUUUGGCCUCAGCCUCCCCAAUGCUAGAAUUCUAGGUGGGCCCCUCAUGCCCAACUCAUCCUCUCUCUUGACAUUUCGUCACUCCUGCAUUCUCUGGAUGCUGGCUUUUCAACUCCUCCUCAGUAUAUCUUUUGAGAGAAGUAGUCCAGGAUUCUUGGCUUAUCUCUUCCCUGAAAGCUCUCAAGUUCAAGCCUUGGGCUAAACACACACACACACACACACACACCACACAAACCUUUAAUCCUAGCAUUUGGGAGGGAGAGGCA